RNAcentral lists this ribosomal RNA (292 nucleotides) under uncultured bacterium. Its description in RNAcentral is "partial 16S ribosomal RNA". It matches the Rfam family "Bacterial small subunit ribosomal RNA", at positions 505 to 796 of the family's 1533-position model. The record is from RNAcentral.
GUGCCAGCAGCCGCGGUAAUACGUAGGGUGCGAGCGUUGUUCGGAAUUACUGGGUGUAAAGGGUCCGCAGGCGGGCGAGCAAGUCGGUGGUGAAAGUUCAUGGCUUAACUGUGAAAUUGCCUUCGAUACUGCUCGUCUUGAGUCCGAGAGAGGAUGAUGGAAUUCAUGGUGUAGCAGUGAAAUGCGUAGAGAUCAUGAAGAACACCAGUUGCGAAGGCGGUCAUCUGGCUCGGUACUGACGCUCAGGGACGAAAGCGUGGGUAGCAAACAGGAUUAGAAACCCCCGUAGUCC